GAUGAACGCUGGCGGCGUGCCUAAUACAUGCAAGUCGAGCGAACAGAUGAGAAGAUUGCUUCUCUGAUGUUAGCGGCGGACGGGUGAGUAACACGUGGGUAACCUACCUAUAAGACUGGGAUAACUCCGGGAAACCGGGGCUAAUACCGGAUAAUAUUUUGAAACGCAUGGUUCAAUAGUGAAAGACGGUUUCGGCUGUCACUUUAAUAUGGAACAGCGCCGUAUUAGCUAGUUGGUAAGGUAACGGCUUACCAAGGCGACGAUACGUAGCCGACAUGAGAGGGUGAGCGGCCACACUGGAACUGAGACACGGUCCAGACUCCUACGGGAGUCAGCAGUAGGGAAUCUUCCGCAAUGGGCGAAAGCCUGACGGAGCAACGCCGCGUGAGUUAUGAAGGUCUUCGGAUCGUAAAACUCUGUUGUUAGGGAAGAACAAAUUUGUUAGUAACUGAACAAGUCUUGACGGUACCUAACCAGAAAGCCACGGCUAACUACGUGCCAGCAGCCGCCGUAA
Molecule: ribosomal RNA, 514 nt
Filed under: uncultured bacterium
Lineage: Bacteria
Description: partial 16S ribosomal RNA
Rfam family: Bacterial small subunit ribosomal RNA
Source: RNAcentral